GCCUUCGACAAGAUUUAACCUGUAAAAGCAUCUAUUGAUUGUCAGUUCUUUUUUUCUCCCCUUUUUGUUUUUAAUACUGGCUGCCAAUUUAACAAAGUCUACAGUUAUCUUCAAAGAGACUAUAAACUCCAUUUUGGUGUUUUGAUGGCGUAUUGAGCAUUAAGUACUAAGGUGGAGAGUGUUUGCUUUUCUAGCCUUAAAACAAAAAAAAAAAAAGAAAAGAAAAGAAAAAAACUUAGUGAUCUAAAAACAUGAGACUUUUCUUCUGUGAAGCUAAAAUUUGGGGGUAAAGUGGGCAUUUCUUUGGCAAUUUGUUUUUAAGGUAAAUUUAUCUAAGCACUUGUUAUAUCCGUGUUCUUGUCUGUGGGUGUGAGGCGAGGAGCAGUAGCUACCCUAAGAGCAAAACAAAACUGUGAAGUCUCUCAGGAACGAGUCGCAUGUUCUGUCACAGACAUCUUCUUCUGAAGCCCUUGGCUCAAACUUUCUUUCAGUGAAGAAAUGAUUGAAUUUCCUAUCAAGCUUAGGGUGAGAUCUGAAUUUCAAGUGAUGUGACAGUUGCCCACUGCUUUCUCCUUCCCUGGGAAGGUUAUGUUUCUCUCCAUAUCAUGUGGAACACAGUUCACUGUUUGAGACAGGUUCUCUCUUCCCUGUUCUAUCUCCCCUUCCCCUUCCUACUCUCUCAUUCUUCCCUCACUGCCCCUCCUUACAUGAGUUUUGGUUACUUCAACCCAUGGUGAUUAUUUUUUUAAAAAAAUUUUAAGAUAUAUCAUUAUUAUGUGGGCCUCUGUUCCUCUGUUUGUGUGUGUGUGUGUGUGUGUGUGUGUGUGUGUGUGUGUGUGUGUGUGCGCGCGCGCGUGCGAUAGAUACUGUUCUCAUGCAUGUGCGAGAUACUGUUCAGCUGUCAUGGUGUGCACUUGGAAGUCAGGGGACAACUCUCUGGAGUUGGUUCUCCCCUGCUUUCCCUUUGAUGCAUCGUGUCCCUUGCUUCUCAUGCAUUGUGGUGUGCUGUACACUAACUGGCUGCAAGCAUCUGUGGGAGCCUCCUGCCUCUGCCUCCCAAACUCACCAUAUGAGUCCUAGGAUUACAGAUGAACUACCAAAUCCAACCUUUGUACAUGGGUCCCGGGGGAUGGGGGUGUCAUCUUCCUGUUGUCGGGCUUAGCUUGCUGGCUCAUAUUAUUAUUUUUUAAUUUUUAAACAUACAAACCUAGCAUUGGAAUCCAACCUUAUGUUGAAAAUCCAACCUUAUGGAUUGUAGAUAUAAAUACUUAAAUAAUUUUAUGUCUUUGAAACAUCUCUAUUCCCCAGAUAGGUUCUGUAACACAUAAGAUUUGUGGUUGAGCCGGUGUAAAAAGAGACCGUUUACCUGAAGAUGUUUUUCUUACGUUUUACUAUGACGAGUGAAAUGCUCCCAUGUCAAAGUGGUAUAAAACGCUCCAUUUCAGCUCCCAGUGACAGUUCUUUACUUAUUUUGUAGAGUGAGCAGAUUUCAGCUGUAACAAUGUUUAUAAUGGAAAAUAGCUGGGACUCAGGAACGGGGUUGGAAGGAAAUUUAGGAAAACUUUAUUUAAUAAAGGUCCUAAGUGUCCGAGGCUUCGGAUGUUAACUUCUGUGCUCAUAAAAGAUGCUAGCGCAAGAUUUAUGUCAAUUUAUGUCAAUUUCCCACAUUUAUUUUCGUGUGUGAUUGUGGCCUAUGCUUGUGUAUGUGUAUUGUACACAUGUUGUCUGGGGUGGGGGGACAUCAAGUCACCUAUUCCAUUUCUUUCUGCCUUCUUCCUUUGAGGCAGGUUCUCUCAUUGAAUGUGGAGCGAGGUUGUCAGCCAGCAAACCCUGUGAGCCCUGUCUAGGCUACCCUCAGUGCUGGGGUUACAGGCCCUGCCUUGCAUUUUGUGUGGGUGCUAGGGAUUUGAGUUAAGUCCUUAUGCCUACAAGCAAAAGCAUGCCAGAUCAUGUUCUUAGACCUUAAUUGCUUUAAAAAAUUUUUUUCAGUUCUUAUCACAGAUGUAAACCACACUGGUAACUUGAUUUUUUUUUUAAGUUGGGAAUUAUAAGGAAAUCAAAGUUAGGCCUAAGGUAAUUACAUAAUAUGUAAAUUUGGGGAUAAGAAAAGGC
RNAcentral lists this long non-coding RNA (2112 nucleotides) under Mus musculus (house mouse). Its description in RNAcentral is "long non-coding RNA chr16:72666883-72668995". Lineage: Eukaryota; Metazoa; Chordata; Mammalia; Rodentia; Muridae. The record is from RNAcentral.